GACGAACGCUGGCGGCGUGCUUAACACAUGCAAGUCGAACGGAAAGGCCCUGCUUUUGUGGGGUGCUCGAGUGGCGAACGGGUGAGUAACACGUGAGUAACCUGCCCUUGACUUUGGGAUAACUUCAGGAAACUGGGGCUAAUACCGGAUAGGAGCUCCUGCUGCAUGGUGGGGGUUGGAAAGUUUCGGCGGUUGGGGAUGGACUCGCGGCUUAUCAGCUUGUUGGUGGGGUAGUGGUUUACCAAGGCUUUGACGGGUAGCCGGCCUGAGAGGGUGACCGGCCACAUUGGGACUGAGAUACGGCCCAGACUACUACGGGAGGCAGCAGUGGGGAAUAUUGCACAAUGGGCGGAAGCCUGAUGCAGCAACGCCGCGUGCGGGAUGACGGCCUUCGGGUUGUAAACCGCUUUCGCCUGUGACGAAGCGUGAGUGACGGUAAUGGGUAAAGAAGCACCGGCUAACUACGUG
Molecule: ribosomal RNA, 468 nt
Filed under: uncultured bacterium
Lineage: Bacteria
Description: partial 16S ribosomal RNA
Rfam family: Bacterial small subunit ribosomal RNA
Source: RNAcentral